GACGAACGCUGGCGGCGUGCCUAAUACAUGCAAGUUGAGCGCUGAAGGUUGGUACUUGUACCAACUGGAUGAGCAGCGAACGGGUGAGUAACGCGUGGGGAAUCUGCCUUUGAGCAGGGGACAACAUUUGGAAACGAAUGCUAAUACCGCAUAAAAACUUUAAACACAAGUUUUAAGUUUGAAAGAUGCAAUUGCAUCACUCAAAGAUGAUCCCGCGUUGUAUUAGCUAGUUGGUGAGGUAAAGGCUCACCAAGGCGAUGAUACAUAGCCGACCUGAGAGGGUGAUCGGCCACAUUGGGACUGAGACACGGCCCAAACUCCUACGGGAGGCAGCAGUAGGGAAUCUUCGGCAAUGGACGAAAGUCUGACCGAGCAAAGCCGCGUGAGGGAAGAAGGGUUUCGGAUCGUAAAACUCUGUUGGUAGAGAAGAACGUUGGUGAGAGUGGAAAGCUCACCAAGUGACGGUAACUACCCAGAAAGGGACGGCUAACUACGUG
Molecule: ribosomal RNA, 497 nt
Filed under: uncultured bacterium
Lineage: Bacteria
Description: partial 16S ribosomal RNA
Rfam family: Bacterial small subunit ribosomal RNA
Source: RNAcentral